UAGCUCAGUCAGUAGAGCAUGAGGCUCUUAAUCUCAGGCUCAUGGGUUCGUGCCCCCAU
This 59-nucleotide transfer RNA is filed under the name Mesocricetus auratus (golden hamster). It matches the Rfam family "tRNA", at positions 8 to 63 of the family's 71-position model. Rfam says of the family: Transfer RNA (tRNA) molecules are approximately 80 nucleotides in length. Their secondary structure includes four short double-helical elements and three loops (D, anti-codon, and T loops). Lineage: Eukaryota; Metazoa; Chordata; Mammalia; Rodentia; Cricetidae. The record is from Rfam by way of RNAcentral.